This 95-nucleotide non-coding RNA is filed under the name Streptomyces tsukubensis. RNAcentral describes it as "Glycine sequence". It matches the Rfam family "Glycine riboswitch aptamer". From Rfam's summary of the family: This family represents the bacterial glycine riboswitch. Glycine riboswitches usually consist of two metabolite-binding aptamers domains with similar structures in tandem. Lineage: Bacteria; Bacillati; Actinomycetota; Actinomycetes; Kitasatosporales; Streptomycetaceae. The record is from RNAcentral.
CGAAUCCGCGCGGGAGAGACCCGGAGCACGACUCCGGGCGCCGAAGGAGCAAGUUCCUCCCUUGAAUCUCUCAGGCCCCGUACCGCGUGCGAUGA